RNAcentral lists this ribosomal RNA (305 nucleotides) under uncultured bacterium. Its description in RNAcentral is "bacterial SSU rRNA". It matches the Rfam family "Bacterial small subunit ribosomal RNA", at positions 334 to 632 of the family's 1533-position model. The record is from RNAcentral.
CCAUCCUACGGGGCGCAGCAGUAGGGAAUUUUCGUCAAUGGGCGCAAGCCUGAACGAGCGAUGCCGCGUGAGUGAAGAAGGCCUUCGGGUCGUAAAGCUCUGUUGCGGGGGAAAAAAGGCAGCAUCAGGAAAUGGGUGCUGACUGAUGGUGCCCCGCCAGAAAGCCCCGGCUAACUACGUGCCAGCAGCCGCGGUAAUACGUAGGGGGCGAGCGUUAUCCGGAUUUAUUGGGCGUAAAGAGUUCGUAGGCGGUUUGUUAAGUCUAAAAUUCAAGCCCGAGGCUUAACCUCGGUUCGUUUUAGAAA